Molecule: non-coding RNA, 107 nt
Organism: Otolemur garnettii (small-eared galago)
Lineage: Eukaryota; Metazoa; Chordata; Mammalia; Primates; Galagidae
Source: Rfam
GGGCUCACUUUGGCAGUUCAUAUACUAAAAUUGGAAUGAUAGAGAUAAAAUUAGCAUGGCUCCUGAAGAAGGAUGAAACACGAAUACAUAAAGUGUUCCAUACUUCA